RNAcentral lists this transfer RNA (72 nucleotides) under Pangasianodon hypophthalmus (striped catfish). It matches the Rfam family "tRNA". From Rfam's summary of the family: Transfer RNA (tRNA) molecules are approximately 80 nucleotides in length. The record is from Rfam by way of RNAcentral. Lineage: Eukaryota; Metazoa; Chordata; Actinopteri; Siluriformes; Pangasiidae.
UCCCUGGAGGACUAGUGGUUAGGCCACAGCGCUCUCACUGCUGCGACCCGGGUUCGAUUCCCGGCCAGGAAC